RNAcentral lists this ribosomal RNA (560 nucleotides) under Russula amethystina. Its description in RNAcentral is "eukaryotic LSU rRNA". It matches the Rfam family "Eukaryotic large subunit ribosomal RNA", at positions 110 to 644 of the family's 3401-position model. Lineage: Eukaryota; Fungi; Basidiomycota; Agaricomycetes; Russulales; Russulaceae. The record is from RNAcentral.
CAAAUUUAAAAUCUGGUGGUCUUUGGCCAUCCGAGUUGUAAUUUAGAGAAGCGUCUUCCGCGCUGGGCCGUGCACAAGUCUCCUGGAACGGAGCGUCAUAGAGGGUGAGAAUCCCGUCUUUGGCACGGACAUGCCAGGGCUUUUGUGAUGCGCUCUCGAAGAGUCGAGUUGUUUGGGAAUGCAGCUCAAAAUGGGUGGUGAACUCCAUCUAAAGCUAAAUAUUGGCGAGAGACCGAUAGCGAACAAGUACCGUGAGGGAAAGAUGAAAAGCACUUUGGAAAGAGAGUGAAACAGUACGUGAAAUUGUUGAAAGGGAAACGCUUGAAGUCAGUCGCGUCGACCGAGACUCAGCCUUGCCUUGGCUUGGUGUACUUCUCGGCUGACGGGUCAGCAUCAAUUUUGCCCCUUGGAUAAUGGCGAGGGAAAUGUGACACCUUUACGGUGUGUUAUAGUCUCUUGUCGCAUGCAAGGGUUGGGAUUGAGGAACUCAGCACGCGCCUUUGGGUGUCGGGGUUUUUGCCCACGAUACGUGCUUAGGAUGUUGGCGUAAUGGCUUUAAA